This is a non-coding RNA of Trichonephila clavipes, 79 nucleotides long. The record is from the annotation of a GenBank genome assembly. Lineage: Eukaryota; Metazoa; Arthropoda; Arachnida; Araneae; Nephilidae.
UUCAGGAUGGCCAAGCGGUCAAAGGCGCUUUGCGUUCAUCGUAGUUUUGGCGUGGGUUCGAAAAUCCCACUUCUGAUAA